AUUAGAUACCCCCGUAGUCCAGGGUGUAAACGCUGCAGACUUGGUGUUUGGGAAGUCCUUUGGGGGCAUUCAGUGCCGGAGAGAAGUUGUUAAGUCUGCUACUUGGGGAGUACGUCCGCAAGGAUGAAACUUAAAGGAAUUGGCGGGGAGCACCACAACGGGUGGAGCCUGCGGUUUAAUUGGACUCAACGCCGGAAAUCUCACCGGAUAGGACAGACAUAUGAUAGUCGGGCUGAAGACUCUACUUGAUGAUCUG
This 256-nucleotide ribosomal RNA is filed under the name uncultured archaeon. RNAcentral describes it as "partial 16S ribosomal RNA". It matches the Rfam family "Archaeal small subunit ribosomal RNA", at positions 728 to 982 of the family's 1478-position model. The record is from RNAcentral.